CCUACGGGCGGCAGCAGUGGGGAAUAUUGGGCAAUGGGCGCAAGCCUGACCCAGCAACGCCGCGUGAAGGAAGAAGGCUUUCGGGUUGUAAACUUCUUUUCUCAGGGACGAAGAAAGUGACGGUACCUGAGGAAUAAGCCACGGCUAACUACGUGCCAGCAGCCGCGGUAAUACGUAGGUGGCAAGCGUUAUCCGGAUUUAUUGGGUGUAAAGGGCGUGUAGGCGGGAGCGCAAGUCAGAUGUGAAAACUCAGGGCUCAACCUGUGGCCUGCAUUUGAAACUGUUUUUCUUGAGUACUGGAGAGGCAGACGGAAUUCCUAGUGUAGCGGUGAAAUGCGGAGAUAUUAGGAGGAACACCAGUGGCGAAGGCGGUCUGCUGGACAGCAACUGACGCUGAGGCGCGAAAGCGUGGGGAGCAAACAGGAUUAGAUACCCUUGUAGUC
RNAcentral lists this ribosomal RNA (443 nucleotides) under uncultured bacterium. Its description in RNAcentral is "partial 16S ribosomal RNA". It matches the Rfam family "Bacterial small subunit ribosomal RNA", at positions 338 to 795 of the family's 1533-position model. The record is from RNAcentral.